Non-coding RNA from Pelobates cultripes (western spadefoot toad), 241 nucleotides. The record is from the annotation of a GenBank genome assembly. Lineage: Eukaryota; Metazoa; Chordata; Amphibia; Anura; Pelobatidae.
CCAGACAACUUCAUUGAGCUGAAGUGGUCUGGGUGCCUAUAGUGGUCCUUUAACCGCUUAAGGACCAAACUUCUGGAAUAAAAGGGAAUCAUGACGUCAUGUGUCCUUAAGGGGUUAAGCACCAAAAAAAAAAUACAGCUCAGUGUAGUGGUUUUGGAGCAAGGUGUGUCCCAGUAUCCUCCCAGAGUAAGAUGUCAAACUCUUUUAGAACGGUUUGGCAACUUACCUGGGUCCCACAGCC